UCCAUUGGUCAGGCUUAACUGUCCGCACUGGUGAGAUGAGUUCUUACCUUCUGAGGAACCUUCAUGCCAUUCAUUUGGUGUGAUGGGAAAUCAGGACCGUUACUUUGAAAAAAUUAGAGUGUUUAAAGCAGGCUUACGUCUGAAUACAUUAGCAUGGAAUAAUGAAAUAGGACGGAUGAUCCUAUUUCGUUGGUUUCUAGGAUCACCGUAAUGAUUAAUAGGGACAGUUGGGGGCAUUAGUAUUCAAUUGUCAGAGGUGAAAUUCUUGGAUUUAUUGAAGACUAACUAUUGCGAAAGCAUUUGCCAAGGAUGUUUUCAUUAAUCAAGAACGAAAGUUAGGGGAUCGAAGACGAUCAGAUACCGUCGUAGUCUUAACCAUAAACUAUGCCGACUAGGGAUCGGACGGUGUUAUAUCUUGACCCGUUCGGCGCCUUACGGGAAAC
Molecule: ribosomal RNA, 443 nt
Filed under: uncultured Diversispora
Lineage: Eukaryota; Fungi; Glomeromycota; Glomeromycetes; Diversisporales; Diversisporaceae
Description: SSU rRNA
Rfam family: Eukaryotic small subunit ribosomal RNA
Source: RNAcentral